This 333-nucleotide transfer-messenger RNA is filed under the name Asaia bogorensis. It matches the Rfam family "Alphaproteobacteria transfer-messenger RNA". Rfam says of the family: Bacterial tmRNA, also known as 10Sa RNA or SsrA, is named for its dual tRNA and mRNA-like properties. Its role is to liberate the mRNA from a stalled ribosome. The record is from RNAcentral. Lineage: Bacteria; Pseudomonadati; Pseudomonadota; Alphaproteobacteria; Acetobacterales; Acetobacteraceae. RNAcentral also lists the same sequence under 1 other name.
CCCCUUGCCGGGCGCACAGCAACACCCUAUAUGCAUCGGUGCCGGAGGGCUUGCCCUUGGCUAUGGCGAUAAACGGUAAGUGGAAUAAUCGUUACGGACCCGGGGGCAGUGCCCGGCGUCUCCACCAUUCCUUCCCGAGGGCUCUGCCCAACGGAAAGUAAGGGGACGAAACAGGCUCGACGUGCGUGGUAAAGACUUAUCUUUUGCCCGGCAUUGUACCGCCGUUAUCGGGCUAAAUCACAAGUGCCAAUGAUAACACAAAGGUGCUCGCUGUCGCUGCAUAAGCGAUAAGCGCGGUUCGGGAGGGCACCGGGCAACAGAAGCCCUCCCACU